This 460-nucleotide ribosomal RNA is filed under the name uncultured bacterium. RNAcentral describes it as "bacterial SSU rRNA". It matches the Rfam family "Bacterial small subunit ribosomal RNA", at positions 339 to 796 of the family's 1533-position model. The record is from RNAcentral.
UUACGGGAGGCAGCAGUAAGGAAUAUUGGGCAAUGGACGCAAGUCUGACCCAGCCAUGCCGCGUGCAGGAAGACGGCCUUAUGGGUUGUAAACUGCUUUUGUCAGGGAAUAAACCCUUGUUUGCGAACAAGGCUGAAGGUACCUGAAGAAUAAGCAUCGGCUAACUCCGUGCCAGCAGCCGCGGUAAUACGGAGGAUGCAAGCGUUAUCCGGAUUCAUUGGGUUUAAAGGGUGCGCAGGCGGGCUAUUAAGUCAGAGGUGAAAUGCUACGGCUCAACCGUGGAACUGCCUUUGAUACUGCUAGUCUUGAGUUUAAUUGAAGUGGGCGGAAUGUAGCAUGUAGCGGUGAAAUGCAUAGAGAUGCUACAGAACACCGAUAGCGAAGGCAGCUCACUAAGUUACAACUGACGCUCAUGCACGAAAGCGUGGGGAUCAAACAGGAUUAGAUACCCCUGUAGUCC